GACGAAGGAUCCAAGCGUUGUCCGGAUUUACUGGGUUUAAAGGGUGCGUAGGCGGAAAAUUAAGUCAGUGGUGAAAUCCCGUAGCUCAACUACGGAACUGCCAAUGAAACUGAUUUUCUUGAAUAUGGUUGAGGUAGAUGGAAUAUAACAUGUAGCGGUGAAAUGCUUAGAUAUGUUAUAGAACACCAAUUGCGAAGGCAGUCUACUAAGUCAUUAUUGACGCUGAGGCACGAAAGCGUGGGGAGCGAACAGGAUUAGAUACCCUGGUAGUCCACGCCGUAAACGUUGAUUACUCGCUGUUGGCAAUACACUGUCAGCGGCUAAGCGAAAGCGUUAAGUAAUCCACCUGGGAAGUACGACCGCAAGGUUG
This 370-nucleotide ribosomal RNA is filed under the name uncultured prokaryote. RNAcentral's name for it is "bacterial SSU rRNA". It matches the Rfam family "Bacterial small subunit ribosomal RNA", at positions 524 to 896 of the family's 1533-position model. The record is from RNAcentral.